UUCUGGGUAGUGGAGGGUAUAUCUUUUGUUGGUUUUGACAUUUCUUGUGUAGUAAUGUUAUCUCCAUUGUCCCCACUAAGAUAUAAUAAUAGAAUUUAUUUGUUUGUUAUCUAUUUUAUUUACCUGUUGAGAGGUAGAAUUCAUGCUUUCUCUAAGUCUCAUUUUCUGGCUUAUCUUUACGACAAACGUGCUUUAGAAAUGCUGUGCGGCUGAUGAUGGCCGUUGCUUUUCUGAAGUUAAAAGGUGAUCUUAAU
RNAcentral lists this long non-coding RNA (254 nucleotides) under Ananas comosus (pineapple). RNAcentral's name for it is "long non-coding RNA (ACOM_LNC011532)". The record is from RNAcentral. Lineage: Eukaryota; Viridiplantae; Streptophyta; Magnoliopsida; Poales; Bromeliaceae.